GGUCUCACCUUGUUGCCCAAGCUGGAGUGCAGUUGCCUGAUCUCAGCUCACUGCAACCUCCACCUCCCAGGCUCAAGCUAUCCUCCUGCCUCAGCCUUCCGAGUAGCUGGGACCACAGGUGUGCACCAUCAUGCCCAGAUGGAGUGUCGCUCUCUCACCCAGGCUGGAGUGCAGUGGCGCUAUCUCGGCUCACUGCAACCUCUGCUUCCCAGGUUCAAGUGAUUAUCCUGCCUCAGCCUCCCAAGUUGCUGGGAUUACAGGCACGUGCCACCAUGCCUGGUAAAUUUACUAAACUAAUAAAUUACUAAAUUAGUAAGUUACUAGUAAAUUAGUAAUUACUAAAAUACAAUUUUUAGUAGAGAUGGGGUUUCAUCAUGUUGGCCAGGCUGGUCAUGAACUCCUGACCUCAAUGGAUCCUCCUGCCUCAGCUUCCUGAGUAGCUGGGAUCACAGGUGCACACCACCACACCCAGGUAAUUACUUUUUAUUUUUUGUAGAGUCGGAGUCUCCCUAUGUUUCCCAGGCUGGU
Molecule: small RNA, 528 nt
Filed under: Pongo abelii (Sumatran orangutan)
Lineage: Eukaryota; Metazoa; Chordata; Mammalia; Primates; Hominidae
Description: processed transcript
Source: RNAcentral